UACGUAGGGAGCAAGCGUUGUUCGGAUUUACUGGGCGUAAAGGGCGCGUAGGCGGCCUUCUAAGUCGAACGUGAAAUCCCCGGGCUCAACCCGGGAACUGCGUCCGAUACUGGAAGGCUUGAAUCCGGGAGUGGGAUGUGGAAUUCCAGGUGUAGCGGUGAAAUGCGUAGAUAUCUGGAGGAAUACCGGUGGCGAAGGCGGCGUUCUGGACUACAUCUGACACUGAUGAACGAAAGCCAGGGGAGCAAACGGG
This 253-nucleotide ribosomal RNA is filed under the name uncultured bacterium. RNAcentral describes it as "partial 16S ribosomal RNA". It matches the Rfam family "Bacterial small subunit ribosomal RNA", at positions 524 to 776 of the family's 1533-position model. The record is from RNAcentral.